RNAcentral lists this ribosomal RNA (116 nucleotides) under Metabacillus litoralis. RNAcentral also lists the same sequence under 3 other names. The record is from RNAcentral. Lineage: Bacteria; Bacillati; Bacillota; Bacilli; Caryophanales; Bacillaceae.
UCUGGUGGCGAUAGCGAAGAGGUCACACCCGUUCCCAUGCCGAACACGGAAGUUAAGCUCUUCAGCGCCGAUGGUAGUUGGGGGUUUCCCCCUGUGAGAGUAGGACGUUGCCAGGU